ACGAAGGGUGCUAGCGUUGUUCGGAAUUAUUGGGCGUAAAGAGUAUGUAGGCGGUUUGGUAAGUCAGCUGUGAAAGCCCCGAGCUCAACUCGGGAAUUGCAGCCGAAACUACUUUGCUUGAAUUUGGUGGGGGAUAGUGGAAUUCUUAGUGUAGGGGUGAAAUCCGUAGAUAUUAAGAGGAACACCGGCGGCGAAAGCGACUAUCUACACCAACAUUGACGCUGAGAUACGAAAGCGUGGGGAGCAAACAGG
RNAcentral lists this ribosomal RNA (252 nucleotides) under uncultured bacterium. RNAcentral's name for it is "partial 16S ribosomal RNA". It matches the Rfam family "Bacterial small subunit ribosomal RNA", at positions 525 to 776 of the family's 1533-position model. The record is from RNAcentral.